CCACACACACACACACACAGAGUGUGGUUGGGAAGCGGCUCAUUAGACGAGCCACUUUCUACAGAACAACAUUCUAACUACCUUGCUAGAAAUGGAGACGCUGCCUCCACAGCCGCGACAGAGAGAGGAGCAGUCUAAACCAAAAGGAGGUGGGGAAAGAAGAGGAGGAACACAAAGAGUGUGUGAGGUGAACACUCCCAGGCAGCCUUGGACGCAUACACACUAAAGUGAGGCUCACCAGUCAAAUUGCACAGCAGAUGACUACUGGUUGUGUGUGACAUCAACAAAAACCACUAAAGAAGGGAACAAGCCUGAGGAGCAGAAGAAGAAGCUUUGGAAGAUAACAACGUUCAAGGGAAGGAAAGAUUCCAAAGCAGCGUGGAGGAGAACUACAGAGGAGCAGGGAAUGAGAUUUGUCUGAGUGUCAUCUCACUUUUCUUUCGACUCCUCAUGCAGACCAUCAUCUGUAUCUGAGACAUUAUCCCUCCUAACCCUAAUCUCAACCUGUCUGCUAAUCUCAGGCAGCGUCAGAAGUCUCCUGUGGAUGAUUGAGUGCAUUCAGACGCUCCGCAGGCAAAACUCCUGCCUCGCUCGUCGCCGUCUCCUCCUCAUCAACUGGUCUGCUCACUUCUGCUUUGUUAUUUCUGACACUUAAGUCUGGGGCUCUCGGCUGAGUGAGUGAAAACAACAAGGGCUCUCGCAGAGAGCUACAGAGAGAGGGUUAAACUAUUCUGCUUAACCUCCUGAACCUCCAGCACCUCCCUCUGUAUUAUCACUCCCAAACACCUGCUUGGCUAGAAACACUACAUACUUUCCAUCUGUUCACUCCCAGCCAGUCGAAGGAUGGAUGCCGGAGAACAGACGCUGACCCUUCUGAGCAGGGUAUGGGUGAAGCUGCAGAAUCUGCCCAGCGCCAACGGUAUAGAUCUGGGGGCUUUCUUCGUCCUGCUCACUUUCAUCUUGAUGGUGGUGGCUAUUGCAGUGGUGACCUGCUUGAGCUGCUGCUGCUGCUGCCGCUGCUGCAAGGCCAAGAUGAAGGGACCGAAUAUCUGAACAAAUGUGCUCCACACGAAGAGAACUGCAAUUACAUGUGCAAUAACUGGACUUGCAACUCCCACAUCAGGCAUCUAAGCACAGACAAAAGGGUUGCAAGAGUUUCUCUGCAGCUCUCGACUCCGGCUGCGACUCAUGCCCAUGUAAUUCAUAGGCCCGACAUUCAAGAUGGGUGUGUACGGUGGCACAGAAGAGGCCAAACCCUUGAACAAUAAACUGAAUUGUCAAGCACAGAGAGGGGUGUCCUGACUGCCUGCCAGGCACACCUGCAAAAAGCUGCAUGGUUUUCAGGAGAAUCCACAUUCCAUGGAGCAUCCCAGCUCUCUGCAGGGCAACAACAACCCUCCUGAUGUGGGGAGAAGGCCGGGCCACACCCAAAAGGCAACUCUAAAUUAUGCUGGGGGAAAAUACAUGGAAUUUGAGCUGGGAAAAUUUGGAGAGCCAUUAAAAAUAAUAAAAUAAAUAGGAUAUCAACAGUAAAAGUAAGAUGUGAAUUGUAUAUUGCUUUAUUAAUGAGUCAUUGUUGAGGAGUUGGGUAAGAUUCUCCUGAGGGGGAAGUUGUUUCAGAGCUGGGAGGUGAAGAGAGAUCAAGUCUGCCCUCUGCUGUACGCAAACUGAAAUAGCAUGUGUAUGAUGAAAGUUAUACUAUGCAAGACGUACUAGAAAAGGUGAAAUGGAUUGUGUAAUGAAGUGAGGCUUUGACUCACCACUUAUUGUACUGCCUACUGUAAAUAAUAAACAAAAAGUGAGAGUGAUUCCUUCACUUACCCUUCUUUCUCACAGAACGACA
Molecule: long non-coding RNA, 1843 nt
Organism: Pleuronectes platessa (European plaice)
Lineage: Eukaryota; Metazoa; Chordata; Actinopteri; Pleuronectiformes; Pleuronectidae
Exons: 4
Source: RefSeq, a predicted model, not a curated record